UAAUACGUAGGAGGCGAGCGUUAUCCGGAUUUACUGGGCGUAAAGAGGGUGUAGGCAGUUUUUCAAGUCGGAUGUAAAAUUUCCCGGGUCAACUGGGAGGGGUCAUCCGAUACUGUUAGACUAGAGGGCAGCAGGGGGAGGUGGAAUUCCCGGUGUAGUGGUGAAAUGCGUAGAUAUCGGGAGGAACACCAGUGGCGAAGGCGGCCUCCUGGGCUGUUACUGACGCUGAGGCCCAAAAGCGUGGGGAGCAAACAGGAUUAGAUACCCUGGUAGUCCACGCCGUAAACUAUGGACACUAGGUAUGGGGAGUAUCGACCCUUUCUGUGCCGAAGCUAACGCGUUAAGUGUCCCGCCUGGGGACUACGGUCGCAAGACUA
This 377-nucleotide ribosomal RNA is filed under the name uncultured bacterium. Its description in RNAcentral is "bacterial SSU rRNA". It matches the Rfam family "Bacterial small subunit ribosomal RNA", at positions 521 to 896 of the family's 1533-position model. The record is from RNAcentral.